AAAUGCAGAAAAGGCUAUGUUGC
This 23-nucleotide unclassified non-coding RNA is filed under the name Mus musculus (house mouse). Its description in RNAcentral is "oocyte_clustered_small_RNA12818". Lineage: Eukaryota; Metazoa; Chordata; Mammalia; Rodentia; Muridae. The record is from RNAcentral.